GUGGGUAUAGCUCAGUGGUAGAGCACAUGCUUAGCAUGCACAAGGUCCUGGGUUCAAACCCCAGUACCUCCA
This 72-nucleotide transfer RNA is filed under the name Camelus ferus (Wild Bactrian camel). It matches the Rfam family "tRNA". Rfam says of the family: Transfer RNA (tRNA) molecules are approximately 80 nucleotides in length. Their secondary structure includes four short double-helical elements and three loops (D, anti-codon, and T loops). The record is from Rfam by way of RNAcentral. Lineage: Eukaryota; Metazoa; Chordata; Mammalia; Artiodactyla; Camelidae.